RNAcentral lists this ribosomal RNA (254 nucleotides) under uncultured bacterium. RNAcentral describes it as "partial 16S ribosomal RNA". It matches the Rfam family "Bacterial small subunit ribosomal RNA", at positions 524 to 776 of the family's 1533-position model. The record is from RNAcentral.
UACGGGGGGAGCAAGCGUUGUUCGGAUUUACUGGGCGUAAAGGGCGCGUAGGCGGUCAGCACAAGUCAGUUGUGAAAUCUCCGGGCUUAACCCGGAAAGGUCAACUGAUACUGUGCGACUAGAGUGCGGAAGGGGCAACUGGAAUUCUCGGUGUAGCGGUGAAAUGCGUAGAUAUCGAGAGGAACACCUGCGGCGAAGGCGGGUUGCUGGGCCGACACUGACGCUGAGGUGCGAAAGCGUGGGGAGCAAACAGG